This 72-nucleotide transfer RNA is filed under the name Camelus bactrianus (Bactrian camel). It matches the Rfam family "tRNA". From Rfam's summary of the family: Transfer RNA (tRNA) molecules are approximately 80 nucleotides in length. Their secondary structure includes four short double-helical elements and three loops (D, anti-codon, and T loops). Further hydrogen bonds mediate the characteristic L-shaped molecular structure. tRNAs have two regions of fundamental functional importance: the anti-codon, which is responsible for specific mRNA codon recognition, and the 3' end, to which the tRNAs corresponding amino acid is attached (by aminoacyl-tRNA synthetases). tRNAs cope with the degeneracy of the genetic code in two manners: having more than one tRNA (with a specific anti-codon) for a particular amino acid; and 'wobble' base-pairing, i.e. permitting non-standard base-pairing at the 3rd anti-codon position. The record is from Rfam by way of RNAcentral. Lineage: Eukaryota; Metazoa; Chordata; Mammalia; Artiodactyla; Camelidae. RNAcentral also lists the same sequence under 3 other names.
AAGGGUAUAGCUCAGUGGUAGAGUGCAUGCUUAGCAUGCACAAGGUCCUGGGUUCAAUCCCCAGUAUCUCCA